GCGGCCACUGCUAUCAAGUUCCGACUAAGCCAUGCGAGUCAAGGUAUCGUAAGAUGCCGGCAAACUGCUCAGUAACACGUGGAUAAUCUAACCUUGAGUAAGGGAUAACUUCGGGAAACUGAAGGUAAUACCUUAUAAUUGCUUAAAACUGGAAUGUUUUUGCAAUAAAAGUUACGACGCUCGAGGAUGAGUCUGCGACCUAUCAGGUAGUAGGUGGUGUAAUGGACCACCUAGCCUCAGACGGGUACGGGCCCUGGGAGGGGUAGCCCGGAGAUGGACUCUGAGACAUAAGUCCAGGCCCUACGGGGCGCAGCAGGCACGAACACUGUGCAAUGCGCGAAAGCGCGACACGGGGAGCUUGAGUGUCUUGGCAUAGCCAAGACUUUUCUCAUUCCUAAAAAGCAUGAGGAAUAAGUGCUGGGUAAGACGGGUGCCAGCCGCCGCGGUAACACCCGCAGCACGAGUAGUGGUCACUUUUAUUGAGCCUAAAGCGUUCGUAGCCGGUUUUGUAAAUCUUCAGAUAAAGCCUGAAGCUUAACUCCAGAAAGUCUGAAGAGACUGCAAGACUUGAGAUCGGGUGAGGUUAAACGUACUUUCAGGGUAGGGGUAAAAUCCUGUAAUCCCGGAAGGACGACCAGUGGCGAAAGCGUUUAACUAGAACGAAUCUGACGGUAAGGAACGAAGGCUAGGGUAGCAAACCGGAUUAGAUACCCGGGUAGUCCUAGCUGUAAACAUUGCCCAUUUGAUGUUGCUUUUCCGUUGAGGGAAGGCAGUGUCGGAGCGAAGGUGUUAAAUGGGCCGCUUGGGAAGUAUGGUCGCAAGACUGAAACUUAA
This 834-nucleotide ribosomal RNA is filed under the name archaeon enrichment culture. Its description in RNAcentral is "bacterial SSU rRNA". It matches the Rfam family "Archaeal small subunit ribosomal RNA", at positions 20 to 859 of the family's 1478-position model. The record is from RNAcentral.